UUGAUAGGAUGCAGGUGUACAGGCAGCGAUGUCAUAGCCGAGCAUUACUAAUUGCCCGUUCACUUUUUGCCU
This 72-nucleotide ribosomal RNA is filed under the name Bacteroides sp. 4_1_36. RNAcentral describes it as "partial 23S ribosomal RNA". Lineage: Bacteria; Pseudomonadati; Bacteroidota; Bacteroidia; Bacteroidales; Bacteroidaceae. The record is from RNAcentral.